Molecule: non-coding RNA, 138 nt
Organism: Trematosphaeria pertusa
Lineage: Eukaryota; Fungi; Ascomycota; Dothideomycetes; Pleosporales; Trematosphaeriaceae
Source: the annotation of a RefSeq genome assembly
GGCACUUUGGCGGAGUGGUUAUCGCGCAGGUUUGUCUAGCCUCUUCCUCCAACUAGCGUGAUACUAAUGUCCUACUAGGCCUGCUACAUUGUACAGCCUGUUCCUUCGGGAGCCAGGGUUCGAAUCCCUGAGGUGUCG